AGAUUGAACGCUGGCGGCAUGCUUUACACAUGCAAGUCGUGCGGCAGCGCGGGGGCAACCCUGGCGGCGAGCGGCGAACGGGUGAGGAAUACAUCGGAACGUACCCCGGAGUGGGGGAUAACCCAGCGAAAGUUGGACUAAUACCGCAUAUGCUCUGAGGAGGAAAGCAGGGGGACUUCGCAAGAGGCCUUGCGCUCUGGGAGCGGCCGAUGUCCGAUUAGCUAGUUGGUGGGGUAAUGGCUCACCAAGGCGACGAUCGGUAGCUGGUCUGAGAGGAUGAUCAGCCACACUGGGACUGAGACACGGCCCAGACCUCCGUACGGGAGCAGCA
RNAcentral lists this ribosomal RNA (331 nucleotides) under uncultured soil bacterium. Its description in RNAcentral is "bacterial SSU rRNA". It matches the Rfam family "Bacterial small subunit ribosomal RNA", at positions 26 to 353 of the family's 1533-position model. The record is from RNAcentral.